CUUGGUCAUUUAGAGGAAGUAAAAGUCGUAACAAGGUCUCCGUUGGUGAACCAGCGGAGGGAUCAUUACCGAGUUUACAACUCCCAAACCCCUGUGAACAUACCACUUGUUGCCUCGGCGGAUCAGCCCGCUCCCGGUAAAACGGGACGGCCCGCCAGAGGACCCCUAAACUCUGUUUCUAUAUGUAACUUCUGAGUAAAACCAUAAAUAAAUCAAAACUUUCAACAACGGAUCUCUUGGUUCUGGCAUCGAUGAAGAACGCAGCAAAAUGCGAUAAGUAAUGUGAAUUGCAGAAUUCAGUGAAUCAUCGAAUCUUUGAACGCACAUUGCGCCCGCCAGUAUUCUGGCGGGCAUGCCUGUUCGAGCGUCAUUUCAACCCUCAAGCACAGCUUGGUGUUGGGACUCGCGUUAAUUCGCGUUCCUCAAAUUGAUUGGCGGUCACGUCGAGCUUCCAUAGCGUAGUAGUAAAACCCUCGUUACUGGUAAUCGUCGCGGCCACGCCGUUAAACCCCAACUUCUGAAUGUUGACCUCGGAUCAGGUAGGAAUACCUGCUGAACUUAAGCAUAUCAAUAAGCGGAGGA
This 582-nucleotide ribosomal RNA is filed under the name uncultured fungus. Its description in RNAcentral is "eukaryotic LSU rRNA". The stretch from base 217 to 370 matches the Rfam family "5.8S ribosomal RNA". The record is from RNAcentral. Lineage: Eukaryota; Fungi.